CAAAACCCUCUAGUUUCUUGUAGAGAGUAAAGUAUUGCUGUCUUCAUAUGAACUUCAGGGUAGAACGACAGUAGAAAUAUUUGCUGUGUGAAGAUUAACCUCUAUUUCAAAUGCCUAUCAUGAAACGCAGAAAUUUUUGUGAAUUCAGGAGAUACAGCUGCCUGUCUCUUCAGUAGGUAUGCAUGAAGACCAGAGGCCCUAACUGGGCUUCUGAGGCCAUAUGCAGUUGCUGGGAUYGUCGUACCUGGAUAAGCUCUCCUUCUCAAUUCGUAAUGAUGUCCAACCGGCAAAUGAUGCUUGCUGUUUUCUAAAGUCAGCUGAUGCAUAUUUACAUUGGUGAAGAAGAGGACAGACUCCGCAGCGUGCAGGACUUGCUUGUGCUCUUUUGUGUGAAGGCUGAGCCCGGCUGGGACUACACCCUGUGCUCACCCCUCAGCUGUUCAGUACCUGAUGGAAAAUUCCUGUUCAAUGCAAUCAGAAAGAGCCUUUUAAUUAUUUUUGUGUACCUAUUCCACUGAAUUUAAUCAGCAGUUACAUUCCUGCUGUAAGUUGGUAAGAGGCUUUAAAAAAAUCCAUCAUCUACUAAAUUCCAUGAAAUUAAAAUCUGCAGAAAUUGUCUAGAACCAGACUUGGUUCGGUUGUAUAAAAUGAUUCUCUAGAGUUACUAGCCUAAGUUAUUCUCAUCCCACAAAGAGGAAUUAAUUAAACAUGGACAAUAGAGGGGAAGAUGACACUUCUGGUGUGGUAGGGUUUUCUUCUUCUCACUGCACGUUGCACCACUUUUCAGCACAUUUGAGAUUUGAGUUUCUCCAGCCUUUCUCCCAAUUAAAUUAGAUUUUGUGAAGUCAACAGUACUUCCGUAAGUGGGAGCAUUCACAGUGGAUUUUUUUAAAGAUAAGCUCAAAGACAAGGGCAAAACUCCCAACGACUAGUGGGGACAGGAGCCACCUGCACGUCAGCCUUGUUGAGACAGCAGCAUCACUUUGCGCGUGGCAGGGGAGACUGACAUCUCACUGAGAGACAGAGGAGCAGGCUGCGAGUUAAACUAUUUAUCAGAUGUGUGCUGAAGUCUUGGCUAAAGAGCACGGUGCAGUUUGUGAAUAGCAGUGUUCAUGAGGUGUUACGUGUUGUCAGACCUUAUCAGGACAGGGUCCAAUUAAGGCCUGAUUAUACACUCACUGGGGCCACUGGGGCUUUUCUAAUAGCUGCAGAGAUUGCUUGGUCAGGCUUUAGGUAUGAAAGCAGAGGUCUGGUUUCCUACCAAAGUGUACAAGUAUCUCACAUGACAGGCCAUUUGUGCACAAGUGAAGGAAGGAGGAAGGUGUUAAGCAUGUGCUUUACUGAGCACCAGGCACUGGAGUGACUAUCUUUGCUCACUGGUGCUCUGUGAGAGUAAAGGUGUAUUAAAAGUUUUAUGCUGGGACUCCUCUGAACCCAAAAUGUCAAGAGGCAGGAAGGCAAAUGAAUUGAUUCUAAUGAAAGUGUAAUCCAAGGUGCUGUAAACCAGAUUUUUCUGUG
RNAcentral lists this long non-coding RNA (1518 nucleotides) under Dromaius novaehollandiae (emu). Its description in RNAcentral is "lncRNA (ENSDNVG00000004253.1)". The record is from RNAcentral. Lineage: Eukaryota; Metazoa; Chordata; Aves; Casuariiformes; Dromaiidae.